GAUGAACGCUGGCGGCGUGCCUAAUACAUGCAAGUCGAGCGAACGGACGAGAAGCUUGCUUUUCUGAUGUUAGCGGCGGACGGGUGAGUAACACGCGGAUAACCUACCUAUAAGACUGGGAUAACUUCGGGAAACCGGAGCUAAUACCGGAUAAUAUUUUGAACCGCAUGGUUCAAAAGUGAAAGACGGUCUUGCUGUCACUUAUGGAUGGAUCCGCGCUGCAUUAGCUAGUUGGUAAGGUAACGGCUUACCAAGGCAACGAUGCAUAGCCGACCUGAGAGGGUGAUCGGCCACACUGGAACUGAGACACGGUCCAGACUCCUACGGGAGGCAGCAGUAGGGAAUCUUCCGCAAUGGGCGAAAGCCUGACGGAGCAACGCCGCGUGAGUGAUGAAGGUCUUCGGAUCGUAAAACUCUGUUAUUAGGGAAGAACAUAUGUGUAAGUAACUGUGCACAUCUUGACGGUACCUAAUCAGAAAGCCACGGCUAACUACGUG
This 497-nucleotide ribosomal RNA is filed under the name uncultured bacterium. RNAcentral describes it as "partial 16S ribosomal RNA". It matches the Rfam family "Bacterial small subunit ribosomal RNA", at positions 28 to 507 of the family's 1533-position model. The record is from RNAcentral.